AGAGCGAACGCUGGCGGCAGGCUUAACACAUGCAAGUCGAGCGGGCGUAGCAAUACGUCAGCUGCAGACGGGUGAGUAACGCGUGGGAACAUACCUUUUGGUUCGGAACAACCCAGGGAAACUUGGGCUAAUACCGGAUAAGCCCUUACGGGGAAAGAUUUAUCGCCGAAAGAUUGGCCCGCGUCUGAUUAGCUAGUUGGUGAGGUAACGGCUCACCAAGGCGACGAUCAGUAGCUGGUCUGAGAGGAUGAUCAGCCACAUUGGGACUGAGACACGGCCCAAACUCCUACGGGAGGCAGCAGUGGGGAAUAUUGGACAAUGGGCGCAAGCCUGAUCCAGCCAUGCCGCGUGAGUGAUGAAGGCCCUAGGGUUGUAAAGCUCUUUGUGCGGGAAGAUAAUGACGGUACCGCAAGAAUAAGCCCGGCUAACUUCGUGCCAGCAGCCGC
This 446-nucleotide ribosomal RNA is filed under the name uncultured bacterium. RNAcentral describes it as "SSU rRNA". It matches the Rfam family "Bacterial small subunit ribosomal RNA", at positions 26 to 518 of the family's 1533-position model. The record is from RNAcentral.